Molecule: ribosomal RNA, 838 nt
Filed under: uncultured fungus
Lineage: Eukaryota; Fungi
Description: eukaryotic LSU rRNA
Rfam family: 5.8S ribosomal RNA (bases 362-516)
Source: RNAcentral
AAGUCGUAACAAGGUUUCCGUAGGUGAACCUGCGGAAGGAUCAUUACAACGUAUCCACGUACAAACUCGCGAACUGUUCCCCUGUAGAGUAAACAACUUGUGGAUGAAGUUAAUGGCUGAGAGUCUCUUUCUGAUGGAUUUCUGGAUUUUUAUCUGAAACUGGGAGCUCUCAGUCGCUGGCAAGAAAUUGCUGGGACUUCGUUUACUCUGCUGCGGUAUUACCUCCCAUCAGAGGUGUUGUAUUAACCAAUUUAUUAACCCCAUGUAAAUUCUGAACUGAACUCUGUAGCCGAGUAACUGUCCUUGUUGGCUUCGGUCACGGACAUGCUGCUCAGUUACUAUCUUUAUCAAAAUAAAGAACAACUCUUAACAACGGAUAUCUUGGUUCUCGUAUCGAUGAAGAACGCAGCAAAAUGCGAUACGUAAUGCGAAUUGCAGAAUUCAGUGAAUCAUCAAAUCUUUGAACGCAAAUUGCGCUCUCGGGAUAGGCCUGGGAGCACGCCUCUUUGAGUAUCGAUUCCAACACAACUCGCAAGCGCGCUUGUUGCAAAACUCGCGCUGCCUGCGGAAACUGAGCAAUCUCGUGUCUAGCGAGAUGCUUCAAAUGCAGCGAGUGGCAUGAGUUUCUGAUUGACAGAAGACCCUGUCUCUGGUGACGAGGAUAACUUCACAUUCAGUUGUGAACCCUUCCAUCGUGACUAUUGAGGCAAGGAAAGCAGUUAAUCCAGUGCUCAACGUGUCACGGCACUCUCUGAUCGCCUUUCGUGCAAGCGGAAGUUGGGCAGAGAACUAUUUUGAACUAGAUCUCAAAUGAAGCGAGAAAACCCGCUGAACUUAA